GAUGAACGCUGACAGAAUGCUUAACACAUGCAAGUCUACUUGAACUUCGGUUUGUGUGGCGGACGGGUGAGUAACGCGUAAAGAACUUGCCUCACAGUUAGGGACAACAUUUGGAAACGAAUGCUAAUACCUGUUAUUAUGAUUUUAGGGCAUCCUAGAAUUAUGAAAGCUAUCUGCACUGUGAUAGAGCUUUUCGUCCCAUUAGCUAGUUGGAGAGGUAACGGCUCACCAAGGCGAUGAUGGGUAGCCUGCCUGAGAGGGUGAUCGGCCACAAGGGGACAGAGACACGGCCCUUACGCAAACGGGAGGAAGGAGUGGGGAAUAUAGGACAAAGGACCAAGAGUGUGAUGAAGAAAUUCUGAGUGCAAGAUGAAGUUUGUCGGAAUGAAAAGAGCUUUCAGAUGGGAAGAAAAAAAUGACGGUACCAACAGAAGAAGUGACGGCUAAAUACGUG
RNAcentral lists this ribosomal RNA (454 nucleotides) under uncultured bacterium. RNAcentral's name for it is "partial 16S ribosomal RNA". It matches the Rfam family "Bacterial small subunit ribosomal RNA", at positions 28 to 507 of the family's 1533-position model. The record is from RNAcentral.